RNAcentral lists this long non-coding RNA (766 nucleotides) under Helianthus annuus (common sunflower). Lineage: Eukaryota; Viridiplantae; Streptophyta; Magnoliopsida; Asterales; Asteraceae. The record is from RNAcentral.
UGGACCACCACCACCAGUGUCGGGUGGUGGUGAGUGACGGAUAGACCAGAAUAGAGAGGCAGAGAGAGAGAGAGGGAGAAAGAUCGGAGAUGGAACACCGCCAACGCUCACGGCGGCGUCAGUAGAGGCGACGACGGUGGUUUGAUACUUCUUCGACGAGUUUCACGUGAUGAUGGUGGUGGUGGCCGACACCACUGCUGACCGGCGACGGAGUCGCCGGUGGCACCGGUAACAUCACAGCUCGAAGAUUUGGAGUUUGGUUCAAGAUUGAGUUUCGGUUCGAUCAAACGGCAGAUUUGGUGUGGGUUUUGUGAGGCUCGUGUUUCGGUUCGGUUCAACAUCAAGCUCGGGUUUCAGUUCGGGAGCCGGGUUUUUUUUUUGUUUUGGGUGAACAAGGUUUCAGGGUUGGGUUUCGGGCUUGAUAUCAGUUUUGGGGUUGGCUGGUUUUGGUCAAACAUCGGCUUCUGUUCAAGCUUCAGUCAACGCAAGUCAAGGUCGGGUCAACCUUGGUCAACGGCAGCUUCGGUUCGGGUCCGGCACGCUCAGAUUUAGUUUUAGCGCGGUUCGGUUCGACUCGGUCAAACCUAGUCAAUUCGGUCCAACUUAGUCAACUCAGUGAGUCAACUCAGCCGGUCAACUCAGUUGACUCGGUCAACUUCCCGACGAGAAGAUGGUUGCACUUUUCAAAGUUAUGGCACAGUUGGAAUAGGAGAAUCAUUGGAGAUUCGAGUACUUAGUGGCGUUCGAUUUCUAAAAGUCUUAGCUU